RNAcentral lists this microRNA precursor (199 nucleotides) under Oryza sativa Indica Group (long-grained rice). Its description in RNAcentral is "MIR812 microRNA precursor family". It matches the Rfam family "MIR812 microRNA precursor family". Lineage: Eukaryota; Viridiplantae; Streptophyta; Magnoliopsida; Poales; Poaceae. The record is from Rfam by way of RNAcentral.
AAUAAGUAUAAUUUUACACUAUUCACGUUCCCGUUUAUCUUAUUUAAAUUUUUUUAAUAAUUAUUAUUUUUAUUGCUAUUAGAUGAUAAAACAUGAAUAGUACUUUAUGUGUAACUAAAUAUUUUCAAAUUUUUCAUAAAAUUUUCUAAUAAGACGGACGGUCAAAUGUUGGGUACGGAUAUUCACGGCUGCAUUUAUU